CGCGCGACUUCCGGUCGGCCGCCAUUACUCUGGCAAGAACACCCCAGCAAGAACAAUAAUAAAAUGUAUUGUGAAAUUGACAUCGCCGCUACUAAAUCCUAAUUUUUUCCGCUCUCGGGGAUUUGAAUGGAAAGAAUCGAUCAGAAUUAUAAAAAGGGAAGGUAAGAAAACAAUUUUGAUGUUUUUAUUUGCCAAGAAAACAUUUCUUUGACUUGAAAUACUUUAUUUCUAUUAUUUGGCCAGAUGGGCUCCGAAGAGUGCAGAGAAUUUAUAUAACAUGAUUCGAUGAUAAAAUAUAUACCCAAAGUGUUCACAGUUUUGUUUCAAAAUUAUUCUCUAUUGUUUCCGUCUUAGCUUAGAUUAUUGAAAUGGAAAACUGGUUACUGGACAAUAGUUUUAUCACUUUUAUGGCUCUAAAAUGCGAGUCAUGAACUAUAUAUAUAUAUAUUGUCUAUAUUUAGUUUGCAUGUCAAAUUUAUACUAGUAUGCCCUCAGAUACAUGCUCUACGUUUUAAUUUGAAAGCAUUCCUGUUUUUCAUAAACCAUAACCAGUUCUGUAAAUGUUUUACAAGUGUACAACUUUAAUGUACUUUUUGCUCUUUCUUUUAGAUGGAGAUGCCAGUUUUGAGGAAUUACUUCAAUAUAUAAUAUUUUGGGAACUCUGGCUGUCUGGCAGCACUUGAAUGCGACAUGGACACUUUAAUUUGUAUGCUCUUCAGCAAAAAGGUCAACUAUAUGUGGAUUUGGUAUAAACAAAAAAUUGUAGAACAAACACUUCUUCCAGAUGCAAAUCAAAUCUAAAGGGCUGAUGUGGCAAUAUCAAUUCUGAAGAUGUCAGCUCUUAUAUCCUUAGAUAACAUGGUUUCUUAUAAUGAAGAAUCAUAGACAUUGAAACAUUUCUGAAAGAAGUAUUUGGUUACACAUGCAUAAGGAAAACAAGAACUUACUUUGCUCUUUGAUAAUCUGCUUUCCAAAAUAACAAUACUUUGGUGAAGGAUUUAGUGAUUGACCUUUAUAAAAUGGCUUUUUUGGAGACUUGAACUUGCAAGAAAGUGAAAAAUGCUUGUGACCAGUUUUAAAACAAGGAUCAACAUUAUCAAGGAGGAUAUUGUACUGUGUUUUAGAUAGAAAUAUACAUUAAACUGGUGAUAUAUUAUUGUAAAUGGUUUUGUUGAAUCACAGUUUAUAAUCAAGAUUACCAUAUAAAUAUGGACUUCAGGAAUUGUUAUAGUUCUCUGUUUCAAACACUCACUUUUUAUUUUAUUUUCAAAUAUUUUUCUAAUAUACAACUACGCAAAUUUUAACUAACUGUAAUCUAUAAACUGUAAAUAUGGAGAGGACUCGCUAUUUAACAACAACAGAUGGUUUGGCAUAUUAUUAAUUGAUCAUACAGUAAUUUAGCUUUCUUGAAAAAAUAUAAUAUAAAUAAGAGAAAAACUCAC
Non-coding RNA from Paramuricea clavata, 1442 nucleotides. Lineage: Eukaryota; Metazoa; Cnidaria; Anthozoa; Malacalcyonacea; Plexauridae. The record is from the annotation of a GenBank genome assembly.